AACGAACGCUGGCGGCAGGCCUAACACAUGCAAGUCGAGCGAGACCUCCGGGUCUAGCUGCGGUCGGGUGAGUAACGCGUGGGAACGUGCCCUUUUCUACCGAAUACCCUCGGGAAACUGAGCGUAAUACCGUAUACGCUCUUUGGGGGCAAGAUUUAUCGGAGAAGGAUCGGCCCGCGUUGGUUUAGGUUGUUGGUGGGGUAAUGGCCUACCAAGCCUAGGAUCCAUAGCUGGUUUGAGAGGAAGAGCAGACACGCUGGGGCUCAGACGCGGCCCAGACUACUACGGGAGGGAGGAGAGGAGAAUCUAAGACGAUGGGGGCAACGAUGAACGAGCCAUGCCGGGUAAGUGAUGAAGGCGGUAGGGAAGUGAAGCUGUUUCAGAUGGGGAGAUAAUGACGGUACCAGCAGAAGAAGCACCGGCUAACUCCGUG
Molecule: ribosomal RNA, 433 nt
Filed under: uncultured bacterium
Lineage: Bacteria
Description: partial 16S ribosomal RNA
Rfam family: Bacterial small subunit ribosomal RNA
Source: RNAcentral